UGGAGAGGGGCAUGCCCCUUGGGAGGGGGCACAACAGGGAGUUCGGGGUGGGGGGCCUGGGAAUACGCUGCAUCUUGAUCUGGAUGCUGGCUACACGGGUGUGCCCAGCUUGUAAAGAUUCAUCAAGCUGUACAUUUAGGAGUUAGGUACUUUUCUGUCUGUGUGCUGCACUUCAAUAGAAUGUUAACAAAAUAAAAAAUACAAUACAUAGGGAAUUCCCUGGCGGUCCAGUGCUUAGGACUCCGUGCUUUCACUACCGAGGGCGUGGCUUCGAUCCCUGGUCGGGGAACUAAUAUGAUCCCGCAAGCCGCGGAGGCGUGGCCAAAAAGAAAAACAAAUGCAAUAAAUAAAAAACUACGCAAACAAACUGGGGAAGGAGAAGGCUUAUAAUUGCAUGCGAGCUCUUGGGCAGGAGACCGGGAUGCAGGAGAGUGGGGGACACUGUGGGUGGAGUCGGGGUGGGGAGGCAGGGCAGUGAGGUUUUUCUAGAGACAGCCAGGAAGCACGGUUUAAAAUCACGGGAACAGAGGCAAACUUUCUGCUCCGUGAUAGAAGCAAGUCGUUGAGAGCAAUGCACCAGGUGGAUGGGCCAUGUUCAGGGUGAGGAUUCACAGCGCCCUGCCCACGGCCCAGGAUGCCAAAGCGAGAGCAGCAAGUAGGCAGCGUUAGCGGAUGGCCAGGCCCCCUGAUCCGGCCUUUCCUGCCAUCUUCCUCUCCUCCACAGGAACCUCCUUCCACUCCAGCCAAACCGCACUUUUCACUCUCCCCUAGACAGCUCUAGGAGUCAUCCGUUCCCUCUGCAUCCAGCGCCUGCCUAGCACUAUCUCUUGCCUAAGACCUGGCAAUGACCUCCUGACUGGCCCCCUUUGUCCGCUCCUGCCCCUCUGCCGUCCAUUUCCAGCACAGCAGCCAACAGCAACGACCAUCCCUGCAAAUCUCGACUGCUACUGGGUACCAGGUGCCCUUCCAGACACUCGGCACAUCCUGGGGAGCAAAAUGGAUGCCUGUCCUUGAGGUGCUUUUAUUCCAGCAGGAGAGAGAUGGAUGAUAAACAAUGAAGGUAACGGGUCUUAAAAUUGCCUCGGACAGUAGACAGUGAUACACACCAAGGAAAGAAAAGUGGGAGCAGGUGUUUACUCUAUGCCGAGCACUGUCCUGGGCGCCGGGGCACCGUGGAGAACAAGAUUGACAGGGUCCCUGUGCUAAGGGAGACGGACCAUAAACACAAAGCAAAUAGAGAAGAUAACUUCGGAUGAUGAUAUGAGCUGCAAAGAAGAUGAAACAGGGCAGCGUGGCUGCGAGGGGCGGGGAUGGCCAGGGAGGCCUCAUCCCGGGCAUGGCUUCUGAGCUGAGAGGGGACCAGCUGUCUGGGGAUAAGGGAAAAAGAGCUCCAGGCAGCUGAAGGCUAUUUUGCGUCAAUAAAAACGAAAUCGUCACCAUUGUCAUCAUCAUCAUCUAAUGGGGAAUGAAGGCAGAAGGCACAGAAGGGCCUCUGGGAUAGAGUUGCAAAGAGAUUUACAUGGAGAGUGACAAAGAAACAAAGCCGAGGGACGUUCCGACAUGGAUAAGUUCAAGAUGGACCCAGUUAAAUCAAGCAAAGUUGUCAGUGAAAUCAGAGAGCAAGUUGCAGUUUCAGGAGUGCCCGACACGCUCCAUAAUGGCGGCUGGUCUAAGAGGCGAUUACAUCCAGCUGGUCCCCUCUCCAGACCUAGGCUAGGAUUCGUUACAGAAGAUGGAUCACCUCACACACCUUUGGAGACAGAAGGCAGAAUUCCCCCAAACAAGAGAUGGUCUGAAGCCUCAUGGGGCCCCACCAUUAAACAUCUGCCCCAACACUCCAUUCUCUCUGCUUACAAGAUGUAAAUCUUUUUUUUUUUUUUUUGCGAUACGCGGGCCUCUCACUGCUGUGGCCUCUCCCGUUGCA
Physeter macrocephalus (sperm whale) is the source of this 1924-nucleotide long non-coding RNA. RefSeq lists it as uncharacterized. The transcript has 4 exons. NCBI's taxonomy places the organism in Eukaryota, Metazoa, Chordata, Mammalia, Artiodactyla, Physeteridae. The record is from RefSeq and is a predicted model, not a curated record.